UCCCUCGGGAGCGCAGGGCCGGGGCAGCAGCCCGCUCCUUCGGGGGAGCGGGGGCGUCGUGCCGGCAGGUAUCCCCCGGGCGAGAGGAGGGGGAGAGGGGGGAACCUCCCCCUCCGUCCGGGCGGCGGGCGGGGAUGUGCCAUUUCUCUUCCCGAAAAACGAUGCGGGACGCCAGGGCCGGGCCCGGCAGGGAGCGCCGCCCUCCGGAGCUGUGGCUUGUGCCGCUCCGGGUGGGUGUUCAUCGCUCAGGUGAAGGGAGAGGAGACUUCGCACUUGCACUCGCUUGUCUUCUCUGUGGCUGUCCUAGGAAGAUUUUUCAUGAUAGCGGCAUUUCAAAAAGGAAAAGUUGCAGUCUUUUCCCUUCUUUUCAUUCACUCUGGAAUAGAAAGUGAGCAACAAGCUGCUCCCCUGCUUCCCAUGUAUCAGGCAGUACUCGAACCCAUCUCAUGUAACAGGAGAAAAGGAGAAACCUCAACAUAGAUGAGGUGAAAGAGCAUCUUUCCAUUCAACUCUGACUGUGAUACCUUUGGAAGGAAGAAUACUUUAUGGAGAAGGAUAAUGUCAUAGGUAAGGCUGAGGGCUAUAUAUACAGGUUCUUUCUGUGGUUCUGCCAAUGACCUUUUAUCUGAUAUGGAGAACCUACUACCUCUAUACUACAUUUUUCUCAUCUUCACAAAGAGGAAAAUACCUACCUCAAGGAAUCCACAGAUAUGAGUUUAUUAACUUUUUUAAAGGAAUAUGAGAUCUCAAAGGAUUAUGUGAGUGCACAACAUUACUGAUUGUCCCACUCCUGUGUUACAGAAAACUGUGUUAUGCAAGAACACAAUGAAAAACUAUUUUCCUUUUCCCUUUCUGAUUUCUUGUGCAGAUUUUAUAUUUUGGGCUGUGUGUAUAGAUAUUAUACUUAGAAAUUACAUUAGGUCAUUUCCAGGUUGCUAGUAGAAGGUGGCAGACCUAUCUAUCCCAUAUUAUGAAGUAUCUUGAGAGCUGGCAUAUUGGAAAUCUAGAUCUCUGAACAUGCCAAAGAAUUUUAACUUCAGUCUUUUUUUCUGUCUACAUUUCACUUGACAUGUUUACCUUUUUGUAGGAUAUUACUGGAAGGUGUUUGAACCCUGGAGGGGUAGAUUUUAACCAAACAUCUGAAACGUGUUAUUGAGUAAAUCUCUGUGCUUCUCUCAGUCAUUUGUAUUGGACAUACUCCACUUCACAUGGUUAACUGCAUUAUCUGUUUGGAGAGAGCAUAAGGGAAGAUGACUUAAUAGUCCAGAAAGCAGAAAACCUGCUGGGUGUGUGGGAGUGUGAGGUUCAGAUCCAUGGACUGAAAUAAGCAAAGCAAGAACGUCAUGGUUGGAUUCUUACUCCCACGUGCCUGCCUGAAACUCUUUUAAGGUCAGUGAACAUCUGUCUUCCGUCUGAAUUUGACCAGAUAAGCCUUGUCCUUUACAAGUAGUGUGAGUGCUUCUCAGUCAUACUUUUCUAUUUGGACAGAUCAACAGUUUCUGACAAACAACUAUCUUAUCACAAAAUUUUCUGUCAGUUUUACUUCAAACAAACCUACUCUGCAAUAAAAAAGCUCAGUGGUAGAACACACAGGGAGUGACUUGCUGAACAAAAAAAGCCCCAUUUUUUUAACUAAUUCUCUCUGUUGCCCAACAUCAUCUAGGUUAGAAGUUCCUGGUAUGUGGGCUGGGGGUCAUCAUGGGAUCAUACUAAAUAUUAAAACCAAAGAAUGCAUCAUUUUUGCCUGACAGUGUAUUUUUAUGAGCAGCAGCCACUUUCCUCCAGGGACCUGCUUUUCAGUCAGAGGAUAUGAACCAUACCUGCUGCAGCAGAGAAACUGCUGAGUGAAAAGGAAUAUGUUCCAUGGACAGAGAUGUGGCUUUUGCUGGCGGUACUUUACUGUGUUACAUGCCUCACGAUGUAAUGGUGUAAAAAUGUGGACACAGAGGGAAGAAAAGCAUUAGACAGACCAACAUGAGGCAUGGAGUAACGGUGAGUUUCACACAGGUGAAUAUUUGACUCUUCAUUAAAUUUCAAUGGUAUUUGUACUGGCUAUGAAAUUAGACUUUUGCCAGACUUGGGCUAAUAAAGGGCAAUACCAAACACACCUAGUCAUGGAAAUAUGAAAAAAGAUGUUACUGUGGAGAAAAGUAGAUAUAAUAACUGAUCCUGUCCCUAUAGUCAGACUUUGCUGCAGCAGGUGCCAAGAUGUUGGUGUUGGAAGGUGUUGGAAAAGUGCUGGAACUACAGAAACUGCAGCUGGCUCUAUACCAUCUCCUGGCUUCUGAGCAGAAGGAAUCUUUGCUCCUGCCAAUAUAAAAUAGGUCCAGCAGUGGUUCUGAGACAAAGCAGCACUACUGAAUAACAAUCAAAUUCACUUGAAAAUCCAACUCAAAGCACCUGAAUGAGCAGUUUACCUGGGGGCUGUUCCACAAUUGCUUGAAGUCACCAGAAGGACUUUCACAGAGUUCAGCAGGUGCUGAAUCAGGCAAGUUCUUAGCAGAAAGGAAGACAUGACUGUUUUAUGGGCUUCAAGAAAACCACAGCCAACGAAAUGUAAGAGCUACUGUGUUAUAAUACCUUAAUAAUGGUAUCUUACUUUGCAAUUGAAGGAGACUGGGAAUGUAGUCUCACAGAUGUGAAUGCCCAAAAGAUACAUCUGGAUAAACACUAUAGACAUGAGGUAGACACAUCAAUGGACUUAUUUUUCUAGUUUGGAUCAAAAGAGAGUUUGUCAAUUCCUUGCUGUCUCAGAGUUCACCCUAUGAAUUGGUCUUGGAGCAUGCAGACUGGAUUUUUAUUUUUUUUUCAAUAAAACUAAUCUGGUAGAAAUGCUGCAGGAAGAUAUCUGCACUCCCACUGCUAAUGGGUGUUGAACAAGUGGGAUCAGACUAGAUCUAGUUUUCAGCAAGAACUUUAAACUGAAUGUGGACAUCACAUCCUUGUGGUCAACUCUUCUACCUCCCAGAUUCUCUCCUUGUGAAACACUGCCUGCUGAGGUUAGAUAUAGCUUAAAUGAAUUAAAUUCAAUAAUUUGUCUCUGAUUGAAGAGAUCUGACCUGAACAUCUACGCAUGCAUUAAGGUCUGUGAGAAGUUAACCUUCAUUGCAACUUACCCUUCCCUUUUGUAUUUAUGUAUCUUGUCUCUGUUUGUGGCAUGUGGAAGCAAACAUUGCUUAUCACCUUCUAUUUUUCUCUGUGCUUAAUUACGUUGCAAUAAAUGUUAACCCUUUAUAAUUCUUUAGAAUGAGCAGAAGCAGAUGCUGCUACAACCUAGAUGGUGUUUUUUGUCGUGUCAUUUCUAUGCUUUGUGUGAGUACAUCCUGCCACUUCCCUCAUUGUCUG
Long non-coding RNA from Falco tinnunculus (common kestrel), 3345 nucleotides. NCBI's taxonomy places the organism in Eukaryota, Metazoa, Chordata, Aves, Falconiformes, Falconidae. The record is from Ensembl.